Molecule: long non-coding RNA, 428 nt
Organism: Gossypium arboreum
Lineage: Eukaryota; Viridiplantae; Streptophyta; Magnoliopsida; Malvales; Malvaceae
Exons: 3
Source: RefSeq, a predicted model, not a curated record
UGAUCAUCUUCUCCAUAUUGUUCUGUCGAUUUUUGCUCUCCUCCAUAGCUGGGGUUUCUUCAACUUUCAAACUUCAUAAUCAAGAGAAACGAGAUUCAAGUCGUGAUCGAGGGAAAAACAAAGUUUACGAGGAAUAGGCUCGAUUGUUAAAAAUUUUGUACCGAGUUUUAACAAGCCGGCUUGAGAAUUGGGAUAGGUCGAAGACUCGUUCACACUAUCCGAAGGCCUAAAUUGGUAAAAUGGCUUGUGUGUUUUGAAUGUGGCAUGUAUGGCAAAAUACUCACUUUGUGUAAAUGAUCUUAUGAUAUGGCUAUGGUUUGGAAAGAAAAGGGUUUGUAAAUGAUUAGCCAUUGGAAUGGCCAAUCUAAGUCAUAUUUGAUGUUAUGUAUGUUUAAAAUGCUAUUUAGUCCAUGAAAAUCCUUAGUAAA